GAAGAGGCCGAGGGGAGGGGCUGGAGGCGGCGUGGCGGCCUCGGCCCUGAGUGAGGGCCGGUAGCUCCGGAGCCGCGUAUCGGCUGUCUGCGGUUCUCGGCUGUUUGUCCGGAAGCGCAAAAAGCGUUCGGGUUCUGCGUCUUCUCUGCCGGGGGGAAUUUCGUGCGGCCCCGCCUCUGAACAGCUCGAGGCUGACGGGCCCUGAGAGGCCGGUGUGUGGGAGGCAGCCCGGCCAAGGCACGGCGUGGGCUGUGGGGCCCUUCUGACCCGUUCACCUGGCUGCAGCAAGGUGUUCUGGCACAACUUCAAUCUAUCGUGUUGAAAUCUGAGCUCCGGGGUUUGUACAGAGCCUUACUUUCUGUGACGCCCGGAAGUUUUGCUGGGUAGAGUUCACUGUUUGAUUCGUUUUCUUGUGUUUGUGGAUGCUGGAGGUUUUUAAAAAAUGGAGUCAGAUGGGUUAGGUACUGAUUUUCUAUCCCUUGGUUGGCCCUAUGGUCAUCUGUUCCACUUUACGCCAUCUUUCUAGCACAGCUUUACCCAGGCGCAGCUUCUGUCGUAGGGUUCACACACUUAUGGCUGUUUAUUGCCUACAGAUCUGUCAGCAAGGCUGCGAGUGGAUGCUUUCCAUGUUCAACAUCUAGAAAUGCGUGAUGCUCUUUGCGUAUUCAGGUGGGCUAAUACACAACAGCGAGUGUAUUUAUUUCCUGCAGCAAAUCUUGGGACUGUAGCAAAAUGGAGAAAUCCGAAAGGAGAUUAAAGCCUGUCAAGGUCCGUGUUAUUCAACUACUGCCUUGGCCUGAGGUGCAUGCAGCUGGACAAUCUGUUGCUCACCCAUCUGUCAGGCAGUUUCAGGACAGAUGUGAUGACAGUCUGGAUCAAGUUGGGUAUGCCCAAAGUCAGGGAAGAAGGUUACAAGAAUUCCAAAUCAGUUACCUAGAAAGGAAGUUCUUCUAUCUCUGGGCAAAAAGGACAUUUGGACAAGUUCUCCCUUCCAAAGCCAGAUGCCUGUAUGAGCAGCAGAUCCUUCAAAAAACUUUCAGAGUGUGGAGGGAAUGGUGGACUGUCUGCAGACAAAGACAGCUCAACCUCAGAGCAGACAGCCAUUACAGGCACUUACUCCACAGUUUGAUAUUCAGGGCUUGGAGAGCCUAUGUAUUCCAGCAACAGGGAAAGAGGAACAAAUAUUAUGUUGCAGAGUCUCAUGCAAAGAAGCAAAAACUGCUCAGGACCUGGCAGCAUUGGCUGAUUUAUGUUGAUGUCCAAAGGACAAAACAAAGGAUGCAGGCUGUGGCACUGGCAUUCAGGGAAAGAACCCGUUUGCGGACAUCAUGGGCAGUGUGGAGAAGACGAUGCUGUCAGAUCUGUACCGGACGUAAAAUGAAUAUUUUGGCUCUGCAGCACUGGGCUCAGAGCCUGCAAUUUCGAGCUUGGCUGCAGUGGCGAGACCUAUAUUUAAACAGCCAGAAUGCCAAGCAGAAGGAGAUCAGGGCAGUAACUCACCAUGUGCACAGGGAAUUGAAGAGGUGCAUGGAAGCAUGGCUGGAAUAUGUGAACAUCCGCAGGGAAAAGAAACAUCAGAAUGAGCUGGCUCAAAAGCAUCUCCAAGGUCGGGUGGUCCAGCAGUGUUUCUCAGAUUGGCAUCUGUCAUGGGAGUGCAGGAGGAGAGUGCAUGCUUACCAAAAGGACCUUGAAAAACUGUCAGCAAGGAUUACCUUAAGGAGAGUCUUUGCACGCUGGAAGCAUUAUGUUGUACUGUGUGUGGAAGAGACUCUGCAAUGUGAGCUGGCUGAAAAGCACCACAGACAUCAGCUGCUGAAGUUUGGGUUUAAGGGUCUUCAGCAGAAUGUCAUGAACAGUCAUCUUCAUCGAGUGAGAAAAAAUCUGUCGUUCCACCAGCACCGAGUUACGGUGCUGCAGAAGUUCUGGAACUGCUGGAAGUCCCGUUUGGAAGAGAAGGAAGAACAACAACAGCAGGCUUUAACAUCUAUGGCACAUGCCCAUUACAGGAGGGUGUUGAUGAGACAUGUAUUUGACACAUGGUUGGUGAAGGCAUGCAAGCAGCAAGAAUACAGGAUGGGAGAGAACAGGGCUGUACUUCAUUUCGAAAGGCAACUUUUGGUUUCUUUCUGGUGCUUUUGGCGUAGAAGAACAGCUGCACAUCUGGAAGAGCAAGAGGACUUGGCUCGUGCAAGAGAUCACUACAGGAAUAUGCUUCUUCUGAAUGCUUUCUGUUUGUGGAAGAAAAAUACUCAGGAGAGAAAAAUGGAGAAGCUCAAGGAGAUGCAAGCCUUAAGGUUUCACUAUUCAAAGUGUCUGCAGCAAUCUUGGAACAAGUGGAGAAAGUACAUGCGACAUCAGUGUGAGAAAUGGAGGAAGCUGGUGCAAGCAGACAUGCAUUAUCAGCACGUGCUACUUGGCAAGAUGUUGGCAGCCUGGAAGAGUUAUCAAGAUAACAUUCACUGCAUUCUGUACCAAGUAGCUGAAAAGGAGGAACAGCACAAUAGACUACUGCUGCGGCAGCUUCUGUAUUUGUGGAGGGAAAAUGCUCUUGCUCUUAUACAUGAACGAAAAGUGACUACUCAAGCAGAUGAGCACUACCAGAGAGCAAUUCUGUUAAAGGUGUUGCUGCAGUGGAGGUACACUGCCUCACUACGAGUGUAUCGUCGUCAGCAGAAGGUGGCAGCUGUGAUGGAGGCCAGAAAACAUUUGGAUGCAGUGCGUUUACAGACCCUGUUUCUCUGCUGGAAGGAAUUUACUAAGGAGUCUCUGAUGAUGAAGGUUCAGCAGCGCAGAGCAGUGCAGCACCAUCAGCAGCACCUACUGCAGAAUUACCUGGAAAAAUGGAAGAAAUACCAUCAGCAGUGCAUUGAGAAGAUGCUACUGCAGAGAAAAGGAGGACAGCUAAUGACUCAUAGGCUUCUCUCCACUUUCUUUUUGUGCUGGAAGACAAGGCUGUUGCAGCAGCAAUGGGAAAAGCGAAACACGGUGCAAGCAUUGUGGCACUGGUCACUUUCAUUGCAGAGGAAGGUAUUCAAUGCUUGGCUGAGAUUUGCCCAGGGGCAACAGCAGUACAAAGAGCGUAUUGAAAAAGCCAAAGGAGUUUAUCGUUCUGCUCUCCUGAGAGAAGGUGUAACCAGGAUUUUGAGGUACACUGCUGGCAUGAAACAGUUGCGGGGAGAACUCCAAGCCCGGAACCAGAUGAAGGCAGCCUACAAUCUUCACCAGUCAGUCUAUCGUUGUGCAAUGCUCUGGAAACAGAAGGCUCUCUACAAGAGAUUAAAUAAGUCUCGUUCUUUUCUGCCACCUUUGAAGAAGCAAGUGACAUUUGAAAUACCUGAUGACAGCCUUGAAACUAGAGGACAUUCAGCAGAGGAAAAGCUGUGGCCUUCAAAAUGCAGUGAUCUACCAUUCCUAUUUGCUGGCAAUAACUCAACUCUCAGUGAGCUAGAGGUUGUUCGACGAGCAAGGUUACCACCACGAAGACCUGACUUCCUCAUAGAAUCUCUAGAAAGAAAGGAACUGCUGGGAACUCCUUUUUCCAGAUCAAAAAUGCCUUUUCAGCCAACAAAUGUGAACAAAUGUUCUUCUCAGAACGGAAAUUUAAUGUUAACAAUGGAAAUGGAAGAAAACACAUGUAAGAAGCUUUCUCAACUGGGCACUCACUGUUCUCUGACACACGAUGCUCUCCCAUCUGUACCAUCAAGGACAAGUGCUGUGCACUGUGCUGUUCAGAAGCCAGAGUUACGGUCUUCUUCAUCUUUCAUGCCCCAAGUGAAAGCUGGAGCAGAAAUGAAAGGAGGACAGCCUGUGCAUGAUCAGACAGGAGCCCGUUCCCAAGCUUGUCAACAGAGAAAAGAGUUGGAAAAGUUGCAACCAAACUUACAGUCACAUUUGCUGUCACCUGAAGAAUUACUGAGAAAACAGAGUCACCAAAAUGCAGCUGAAUUGGAAGAAAGAAAGCACAGUUCCAGAGAAGAAAUAGUGCUACAGAGAAAGCUAGAAGCAGAACUCCAAAGCAUCCAACAGCAAAUGCAGUACUACUUCAGCAGGAAGCAAGAACUCAAGUCCUGUCGGCAGCAGGCACAGAUUCUACAUAAGUGGCUAGAAAGGAGAGCACAACCACAGGAUCAAGAUACUAUACAGAAAGUUCAGGAAGAAUUGGACCAGCUGGAGGUGAGGAUCAGUGCUCUCACCAGAGCACAACACCAAGAGAGACGUCACGUGCAGAACCUGGUUGCUCGCCUGCAUGAUAUUCAGGUUGCUCUGGAUAUGUAAAUUCACAUGAACCCGAUUUCUAGUAGGAAUGGCUGCAAUUUUAACCCCUUUCAUGGCAGAAGAGGAUAGAAAGAUGUACGCAUUCUCUUAGUCCAGCAAGACUCAUCGUUUGUUCUCAGUUAUAUUCACUACCAGGUGAAUACCUGCACAGUAUGGCAAUAAACACAAACGAGCGCACGCUGCCUGAGAGCUUGUCCAUCCUAUCAAACACAGUGAAAUAGGACUUGACUUGGAAAUCACCAUUCUGCACAUGAAAACAGUGACAUUUCAGCAAUAAACGACCAACUUAAUCUUGCUUCAAAUAAAAUCUUCCAAAUCAACAGUGCUCUAGCUUUAGUAAUGAAGAAAAAAACGCUUUGCCAUUCUGACAUGCCUUAUACAGUGUUAAUUUCUAAAAUCAAUUUUGCUCAGUUUCCCACCAGCACUGAGAGCAUACAGGUGCAACUGUAAAGUCACAGAAAUUGCCACUGAUAUUUCCUAUAGCCUUUCUUUUUCAAAAGAUCUGGUUUUCCAGUUGGAGGAAUGAAACCGUUUGGUUUCAAUAGCUGUUUGCUAUUCAAAGGAAAUCUAAGAACUGCAAUUCUGUUACAGCUUUCAAUCAAAACAUUAACGUGGAUGCAUUCUGCAACUGCAUUACAGAUGUAGAGAAUACCUCCAUGCAGGGCUGCCUGCAGACUCCUCUCAUCGGUGUCAGAGCAGAGAUCUGCAUUAGUGUAUUAUUUGGAAGGGCUGAACUAGAAGUAUUCAAAAAAAAGAAAAAUUGAAAAACAAACUCUCUCUAUACAAAAAAGCAGGAGACCAUUUCAGUGGCCAGGAAAGGGAACUGGACAAGCAAUGUGCUCUGCCUUAUCCUUGCCCUCGUACUUUGAGACGACUGAAUUAAUUCAGAAGUUUCUGUUAAUUUUUGUGGGCAAGCCAUUAGAGGACAAAUAAAUUCUCUGCUACUGAAAAAUGACUUAUCUGUGAAGCAAUUAGUCACGGCAGUUCUAAACAGUAAAAUUAAAGGGAUGAGUUUAAUCUCUCUGCUUUCAUGCUAGUGAUGCUCAGCCUGUUCUAAUAUUAAGGACCCUUCCACCCAGCUGCUGCCAGCUCCCUUCAGCACCACACAGCUAACAGACACGAAGCACAAGAGACCUGCUCAC
Non-coding RNA from Phasianus colchicus (ring-necked pheasant), 5417 nucleotides. The record is from RefSeq and is a predicted model, not a curated record. Lineage: Eukaryota; Metazoa; Chordata; Aves; Galliformes; Phasianidae.